GGCUUCCAGGCAUUUUACAUUCUCAAAAACGUUUUAAUUCUUGGGGUUUUUUAAGAAAUCCUGGAGCUCAUGAACGUUUGUGAGCUACCAGUCUGAUAGUGCUAAGGGCCUUUUAUGAUACAGUUGCAUCUGUCAAAAUACAAUCUGCUGCACAAAUAGCACUGUAUCCCACAGAGAAAAAAAAAUACCAUCCUUACGAGAAAAGUGCAGCCAGCUUGAAGAAAUGCAGUUUUUGGCUUUGUUGUAUCACAGGAACAAAAUCCCCAAAGAUGAGCACAGUGACUGAAGUUCUCGUAUUAUUCCCCUUGGUUUUCAUGGAGUGCUAUCUCAUGUAGAUCAAUGAAAGUUUAAAUUUGGGGUAAAGAGUCUUCAGAUAUUUGAGAGAAUCUGACAGUGAAUGUCUUGCUUAUUUUGGAUGUAACUUGAAACAUAAAUAAAACAUGUGUCUGUUAUUAUAGUGAUAUCACUAAGCAAAAACUCCACUAAGCAGUUCAUAAUUUAUUAAUAAACAUGAUGCUAUCUGCUAAGAACCUUGUAUGAACUACAGUUGAUUGCUAAUUCUCGUACUAAUUUUGUGUACACAUUUAUCUUUUUUUUUCCUUUUCAUUUAAGUAAUUUUGCUGGUGGUGAAUGCUCACAGGGCUAGGCAAACGCCUUUUCUUGUGAUUACAUUAUUCUCAGUAUUAAAAAUAAUUAAUUACUAACUUCUAAUGUACUGAAGGAAUAUAUGUAUUUUUCUUUUUUCUGAUUUUUGGGGUUUGUAUUUCUAAUUUUUAUCAGUCUAUGCCUAAGAAACAUAACUUGACAAGAUUUCUGAGGUUCAUUGUGCAACUUCAUUCACAUUACUGAAAGACUUGGUUCUGAAAAGGUAAUAACCCUGAGAGCUGCUGUGAUGCUCAGGGCCAAAGCUGUAAGAAUUAGAACUUGAGAACAAAGAUUGGUGAAAUCAUCAGAAAAUGAAAGCCAUCAUCACUAAGCUGAUUUAACCAGGUAUGUUUCUUGAGGAUGCAUAACCUGAGGAACUGGGAAUUGUAUCCUGGAGCAUGGCUGUGCACUUUAGGGUAUGUUCUAGCUUCAAGUCAGACUGAAGCUUGUGUUUGUGUUAUUUGUGACCUCUGGUUUCUAUUAAAUAACAGGAGAAUCAGGACUGUGGCACGGGCUAUGGAAGCCUGAUUCAGUAAAGUUUUACCCAAUGGGACUCCUCACACUAAUGAAAUACCUCCAUGAAUUUUGUCCCAUUCCAGUCAUUGAAUGGAUUCCAGUUGGCUGCAAAGUCCACUGGAAAAUGAAAGCCCACUUCACUUCAGAUGCUUAGUGUUAAAUCAACUGUUAUAUGUGGUCAAUGGAGAAAGAAUGCACUUUUGGAUAUUUGAAGUGCAGCAAGGUGUCACUGGUUAAAUGCAUCAUUAAUCCACAUUGUAGUAAUGGGGUUGUUGUAACCAUGGUAGUCUAAGGAUGUACAGGAACUAUAACCUCAAGGACUUCUGGUUUUUAAGACCAGCUAACAGAAUUGGCAAAAUUGAAGAGUUCUUAGGCUAGAGAUCUCAUCGAUCUGAUUCUUGUAUUUAGUUUAGUAAAAGUCACUGUAGAACUCACUUUCCCUGUAUUUCAGUUAUCAUAACAUUUAAAAAAACUACUGAUAUUACUUAGAUUAAUAAAAAUUUUCAUAGAAGUCUGUGUUUUACACUCUGCCAAAUAGGCAUUUUUAGAAGGCAAAAAGUGAAAGCAGACAUUCUGGCCUAAAUAUAUUCCAGGUUAUAUCUGAGAGAGGGUGAUCAUCAGAGAGAGAACCAAGUGUUUUGAAACAAUGAGGUGAUGGGAGAAAAUUUAUUCAGCUGCUUAUAUAUUUUGUUGGAUAUGAAUUCUCCCAGCUGUGUACAUUCCCCAUUCUAAGUCUUGUCAGAUAUGAUUGUGUACAUAAUGAAUGCAUUUCUGUGGUCGCACCUACAUAAAAAAUAAAGGAGUGCUGUAACCAAGCUGUUUCUCUGUUGAUAGAGUAUCAGAUUCAGAGUAUUUCAGGUUAAAUCUAACUAUGGUAAUCCAGUUUUGCAGUUUGUUUUUUACUCACCCUGAUGAAUAAUUAUUAUUGAAAUAAUGGAAAGUACAUAUUUAAACAUAAUGAAGGAGCCUUUUGUUGAGUAAGGAUUUCUUUUACUUUACACUGUAAGAAUGGAAUUACACUUAAUGGUAAUGGUAAAUCACAGUCAAGAUGCUCAAAUCAAAAGUAAUUAGAAAAACUUUAGUCUGAGAAUGAGAAAUGGCCUUUUUGUUUGGACAGUAGGUGAGAUGCAUGACAAAGUUAAUGGACAUAUAAUCUUCACUUUCAGGCCUGUAAAAUAAAAAGGAUUGAUUUUGCAAGGCAAGUUUCAUAUCUGAAAUACCUCAAGAGAAAUAUAGCUGAGAUGGUAGUGGCAAGUGGAGCUGCUGUAUAAACAAAUGCAGGAACUCUUCUAAGCUCAGCAAUAAUUCAUGUGUGGCUCCAGAGAGUGGAAUCUGUUUUAGGUGUUGAUCUAUGAUAACAGGAUUUGUGCCUCAGUAAGGAAUGUGUGGACACCAGUGACUACCCAGGCCUUGGGCGUGUUAGAAGGAGACUGUCUCUUUCUCUGUGGAGAUGAGAAAUGCUUCUCAGAGCUCCUCAAUCUCCCGCUUUCUUUCUCUAUCUCAGGAAAAACGUUUCAAAAGCAACAACAAAUUAUAAAAUUCACACCAAGCUUACUGAGCCAUUCAGUCAAAUGCAGGGAGGGCUGAUGAAUUGCUUUUGUGUCACUGCAUAAACAUGUGCUGUGUAGUCAUUAACAACAUGGGUCUGGAGUCUACCACAGCUACAAUGGUGUUUAUCAUCUUUAUGUCAUGUAAAAGAUUUCCACAGCUUCAGUGAUUUUUUUGGCUAGACCUGAAGUUAGCUGCAUUGUGUCAACCUAGGGUAGGCUCUGCUUUAGCAGGAUUAAAAAUGUGUUCCUAAGCUGCAACUUCAGAAGCUGCUCAUAUUUCAGGAUGCUGAACUUAAAUUUCUGUACAUUUCAUGGGAACAUUUGGAAGAAAAAGUGCAAAGCGCUGCCUGGACUUCUCUGCCUGCAGAGCUUCUUUCAGGCCAUUAUGGAACAGACCUUUACUGGUACUUCCACAGCACAUCCACCUCAACAUCUAACAUGUGCAGUAGAAUGUUCAACAGUACAGAGAUCUAGUGAGAUUGAUUUUUUGUAUGCUGUAUAUCACUCUUAAAGUGCAAAUUAUUCUGGCACUUGUCUUGUUUGUAAGAAGGCUGUUAUGCCAGAAAACCAGAAUAACUCUGCUGUAGAGAAAACCAGUGCUGACAUUGAAAUCUUGAGGAUCUGUGCAUUGCUUUAGUACUGACUAUCUCUGGAAUCACGUUUGCCAAGAUGUUUAUUUUCUAUUUGGAGUUUUCCAGCACCUAUAGCAGGUGCUGGAAAAAAAGUAAAACUAAAAAAUCUCUAGAACUGCUUUACAGUAGCCCUCCAAGAUUUGAGUCAUUGUCAUGCAUGUUUGUGCCACACAAAUUCAUCGUAAGCAUUUCACACCUUCUUGGUUAUUCAGGUACAAUGAAGCUUUGAGGUAUUUUCUUUUGAUCUCCUACACAUGAAAUAAAUCUCUGAAGUCCUGAGGUAAUUUUUAGUUAAGUUCAAGAACUUCUUGAAGUUGAGUGUCUGUGGGGGUAUGAAUGUACAUGUUAUUUGUGUAUAUAUUUGCAUAAUACCAUAAAACACACAGUACUGGUAAAAAACCCGAAGAGCUAAACAGCAUUUUAAGCAGGACUCAUGUCUCCAUCCUCCUCUGUCCCAGCUUGAUGUGUUUUGCAAAAAUAAGAGUUGAACUUGUUGCUCUGCUAGGCUUAGCACUCCUGCAAGAUCUUAGGGGCAGCAUUUGGUCCCACAUGGAGCGAAAGCCUCCUUAGCAGCAUCGUGGUUACCACCCGACUCCUACUGAGUUCAGAACUCAGCAGCAUCAGAAAUCCCAGUCCCAUGCAAACCUUAGUCCAGGAGUUGCUCUCCAACCCAGGAGCCACAGCUCUGCACAGGGGUCACUGAGUAACAUAUUCCUUCAACAUGCUUUAGGAACUUAACUACUUCUCUCCCUUCACAUAAGCACUUUUGAAUGAUUGUAGGAGCACAGUAUUUUUCUGUUCAGUUCCAUGCUGAGCUUGGCUGUGUCCGGAGUUACUAUGACACAGAUAAAUAACUGUUUAUCCAGCUUUUGGCUGAAAUUUGUUUUCAGCCACAGUUUCAGAAUAACAGGUCAGGCUCUCCAGUGGCUCAAGAAAGCGUGAUGAUUCAAAGCAGGUUUCAGAGGCUAUGAGUAUGUGAUUUGAAUAAUCAAAGAUCUGAAUCAGGCCUUAAACAAACAGAGAGAAUGACAUUGUUUCUGUCUUGAACUGGUAAAGCAGCACCCACUUUGGAAUAUGUUAUAUUAAAUUAACUCUUUCAAUUUCCCAGUAGGGCUGCACAGAAAAAACUCAUCACUGGAGUCAUAACAUUGCAGGAUUUGAAUCAUGGCUCUCAUAUGGCAGACAUAUGAAUUAGAACAGUUUUCUGAACUACAUGGAAGUAACCCAAAAUAUAUGUGAAAUGGGCUCUUUACCAUACCUCUAGAUGUUCUAAAACAGAGCAGUGAUAUUUUGACAUGUUUCAGGAUAUUCUCAUGUAUAGAUAUUUUGAUAGGUGUAGAGUUAUGUUGAUGUUUCAUGAAGUGAUGUUACUACAGUGAAGAAAUCCGCAUUUAAAAAUUCUAGUGAAGCUAGAGGACAUGAUAAGGCAGACUGCCCCGUGAUGUGCGAGCCUCUGAGGCAGGAGUCAGAUUUCUAGCUUAUUACCUUCCUUAAUGUUGCCAAAUUUUGUCACUCAUGUUCAUGUAUGGAGAUUUUAACUAGAAUGACUUUGGAAAUCCAUAAAAAACCUGGAGUGCAGAACUUGACGAGUCAUUUUCAUUUGCUGAAGAUUAAGGUGUAAACUUUUUGUCUGAUUUUCUCUGGCUACUGGGUAAAAUGCUAAGUGUUGUCUUUUGGCUUGUCAAGACCAAAUUAGUCUGGGAUCCACUCCAACUGUCUCUGUUACAAUGACAUCUUGGCAAUCACCAAACACUCCCAAUCUGGAGCAGGUAUUGCCCAGAGGUACCCAGGAUCAGAAGGGAUGUUGUACCCAGAUCAUUUAGAUAAGGUAGGUCUUACACUGACCACAGUGUAGGAACAGCAGCUGUGUAUGUAAAAAUACUCAAGUUUUAGCCCAAGUCACAGGUAAGUUUUUCAACUUCCACUGAAACCCACCCUUCUUUUACCCAAACUAAUUAGGCUGAAGCCAAGCACAGGCACAUGUGAGGGAAUGCACUCUGCAUCACAGGGUAAGUGUUCUUAGACAAGGGGGCACCAAGGAAGGCUUUUUCCCUGAGCCUGCUUUCAGCAUUUUUUCCUUAUAAAACUCAUGGCUCAGAGAUCAACAAGUUUAUUUUUUCCUAUUAUGUGACAUCUGGGAUUGGAGUUCUGCAGACAGAACAAGUUCUUGCUGUUGGCUUUUGCUGAUCACUGUGGCUGUUGAUGAGCAGCUGAACAGAGAUUUCCAGGAGGGACAGUGUUCUGGAGCCACAUGCAUUGCUAUGGGCAAGGCACACAUCAGGUCACAUAGGGGUUCUUUGCUUUAAGGCAUGUAACUUUAAGGCUGUAUAUAAAAAUAAGAACAAUAAGAUUAUAUGAAAAACCUUAACAGUACAGUCCUAGGAAUAUUCUUGGUGAAGGCAGAAUGAGAAAUACUUACCUUAUCCCACUCACACAAAUUACAGAUUCUAAAGCUAUGUAACCCUUAAAAAUUAAUAGAUUAUAUUUUUCAUAUAAUUCUACUAGUAAUAUGUUAUUUAUAUGGAAUUUUACUGAUAGUAAAUAUCUCACUAUCACAGUUUGUUGUACAGGCAGCAUAGAAGUAACACUUUAAGGACUUUGAGGAAUAAAGCUAAACAGAACAUUAAAUUUCUCCAAAGAGAAUGAUGGAGAUCUAUGGCUCAUUUAUUUAAGAUCUUGUAUGCUUCUGCAAAAUGCAUUUUAGAUAAUAUUUAGAGAUAAUGUUAAUGCUAUUUAUUAACUAUUCAUUAUAGUACAUAGCCCACUAGAGGGCUGCUUUUCAAAUAAAUUGCAUCCAGAGUGUUAAUAAAAGUGUUAAGUGUUUAAAAACAAAAAAUAUGCAACAUGAAUACGUAUAUAAUUUUACCACAUUAUUUUGUCAAAUAUCUUCUGUUGCUGCCUGUUAUAUACAGAACAUACUAAAACAAUAUAAAUUGUGGCCCCAACUCUACAAACAUUUAGAAUAUGUUUGGCUUUAAGUAUUUUGUUAGACUUUCCUUAUAAGCUACUGAUAAGUUUAGCGUUAAAGAGAUGCCUGAAUGCUCCUGAGACUGUCUUCUGUCACAUAUCACACCAUCUCUGGUUGUGGAGGGGCAAAGUUCCAAUGUUUAUCCCCUGUAUUUGAUUUGAAUAUUGCAUAGCAGAGGUAUUUUGACAUCUGAAUGACAGGUCACAGCUUCAGUUUGGAAAUCAUGUGUCAGUAGUAAUUUCUUUUCUUGUGCUCUGAUUGUGACAACGCCCUCCACCUUCUUUACAAAUUUUUAAAGAACACGACAAGGAAAUGAGGAGAUUACAAUGUUAAGAAAAAUACAGGAAACCUGAUUUUCAGACACAAUUAUCAGUCUAUAUUGAUUUAUGUUUUCCUCCUGAAACAGUAUAUAAAGCACAAGCAUUCAAGUGUCACAUUGGUUCAUGAAUUCCUUUACAGUAGCACUGUGUGAUUUAAAGGAGCAGAAGUGCCAAGUGAUGUGGCAGUUGCCAUGGCAACUACAGCAAUUCAAUUUUUAUUCAGUAUCAUGUAAAAUGAAACAAGAUACAGUUUGCCUUGUGGCUUCAGGAACUUAUGCAUUCUACCAGUGUUGUUGCUUUUUGUCUUUUUUAACAUUGUGCCAUUUAAAUAGUAGCAUGUGUUUGUUUUAAGGAUUUAUCUUGGGUUUAGGCCAUGUCAUGCCAUUGUUUUUAAAGCAGAGUUUCCCUUACAAACUAUUAUAAAUCUGCAGAGAAAAGAGCUUUAGAUGCUAGCACUGGCUACAUAAAGCCAACUGCAGGGUAAUUCUGCUCAAGAAUCAAUGUUAAUAUCCACCCUAACUAUGAUUUGGCAGCCUGCACUUGACAUAUUCAUAAAGAAGAUAUGCAGAAUCCUUAAAUAGGAGAACAUGAUUGUUUGUACUAGAUAUCUCACUGAUUCAUGAAAUUCAGCAACCUCCUUCUACUAGCAGCCAUGAGUUCUUUAUGACUCAAAGGAAAACAAAAUCUUCAGUGGUGUAAUGGGUUGGCUGGGGAAGCUGUAGAUUAAGAUUAAAUUCUCUUAAACUGUCUGAAGUCUGAGGGAUAGAGAUGGUCAGAAACUGUAAGAAGGGAGAUUCUUUCACCUCUGCUGGUAGGAGCUUGGUCCCGGCAGGAACAGGUGGAUUUCAAACAAUCUCAAACACAGAUUUAACUAUUUAAGGAGAGGAAGAGGUGGCAGAUCCCAGUCCCUCAGCCCUCUUUCUAGAAGACCCCAGGCAGCAAACAUUCCCAUUCAGAUCAACCUGGAAAGCCACCUUCAAGGACCUCUGCUCUUAGUCCAUAAGCAUAGAGGAGCAAGUGUCUAAUUCUAGGAUUCAAACUGUGAGACAUCCAGCCUUCCUAUAUGAAUCUUUUACAUCAGGGGCCUUAUAGCUGCAUCAGUGCUGGUAAAAUAAACAAGAACAGGGCAUAGAGCCUGUCAUGGUCCCACGUUUGUCUGUACUGCUAAAUUGUUGUCAUAGUCACAGUAUGUCCUGUGCCAACCAGUACUCUUCUGGGCUGUUUGCUUCUAAGUCUAAGCAAGAUCCAGGCCAGGGACCAUUCAUAACAGGAAGUUUCAGUGUGGUCACCUUUGGAGCACAGGCAUAAAGGUAUGUUAGAAUUAAACAAGAAUAGGAUUAAAACUUUAGCUGCACGUAGUGACUUUUUUUCCCCUAUCUAGUUAGAAUAAUUGUUGUGCCACUUAUUAUAGGUUUUUUACUACUAGGCUGUAAAACUUCAGAUCUCUUCUGCUUUGUGUGAAGGCUGAUGGCUUGGUAGCAUGUUCUCAUUCAUUCUGCUCAGAAUUGUUUUGCACUUUUACCUCAUUAAGUUUCCACCCUCAAAGGCAACGUGUUGCUGCAUGUCCAUCCCUUCAGCAUCCUUCAGAAUGCAAGGCUUUAUGUGUUACACAUAUAAAAGCAUAUUUCUGUCAGAAUACUCUUAAUAAGAGUCUAAAUUUAAGCAUGAGGACUCCUAUUAAAUUAGUUUUGUUGAAGCUCCGUUUGGGGUUCUUUUUGCAUUAAUCAGCAAGAUUUAUCCUGAUGAGAUAGUUUUAAGAUUUAGUUAGGCAGAUGUUUGAGUUGCUUUGACUAAGCAUAGUUUUAGCUCUGCUCACACUUUGACUGGUUUAAGGGUUUUUGUAAUUAGAAUGCAAACAUACUUCACUGAAUUGUUAACUCAAGAUUUUUGUAGAAACACCAGUGGCUCACAAACCACAGAAUGUCCCCAACGGGUCUCUGUUUCCACUUUGGUACAUGUAGGUAUCCCUGAUACAUAUUGCUGGGCACUAGGCACAAGCGUUGAAGACAUAGCUGAUAGAUAAGGAGAGAACUGGCAGAAACACUGCAGCUCCAGCAAAAUACCCAUUUCAGUGAAGAAUUAUAUGUGUCUGUGUACUGUACACCAAGACUUGGGUAGGGCAUGAGCACAGCACGAAAACAGCUCCUGGGUCAGUGUGACUGCUUUUAGUGCUAUGGAGAGAUCUGUCAUAGAGUGAUUUUUCCAUGUGAUCUGAGCAUAUCAAGUGGUUCAGUAUUAGAACCUGUGACAAGGAAAAGGGACAUGAUUCAGUGCCACAGAGAAGUGACCUAGUCCAUUAAUGCUCGAGGACCACUGUGGUUGACAACAGUUCACUGUGCACUUUGCUCUUGCAAAGGGGCAUCAUUUUGGAAACUAUUUAUCUCUCUGGUUCUUUACCUUUAGCAGGUACAGUAAUGACUUCAUUUAGCAAACGUCAGUGCUGGGUUUAUGAUGCAGAUUUCACUGGAUUGUUAAACUGUUAAUUUACAGAUCUUUACUAAGUGAAUGCAAACAAAUUCUGGUCCUCAAAGCUCUGCUAAUGCACAAUGCUUGAAUUUUAAUUUCCAGUCCAUCUUAGAUUACGGUGAUGAAAAACAAUAUUUAAUCCCUCGUUAACACAUGAAUAAGAGGAAACUGUCAUUUCCCACCAAACAAUAACGGGAUUAUCUCAAGAACUGUCAGUUUAUGUGAAAACAUUAUGUUGCCCAAAUUUUCAUAAAAAUUAGCAGUGGGUAAUAUUCAAGAUCAGAGCAAUGGAAAGAGGGAAAUCUGCAUUCAUGGUAAUAAAUAUUCAUAUUUGUCUGCUCAGGAGAUGAAAAUCUAAUCAAGGGGCUAUUGAUGCGCUGGCUUUUUUUCUUUUUUUUUUUUUUAACCAAGAUGUUUCAUCUAAAUUGGGUUUGAUAUGGAAAUUAGUCUUACUCCAAGUCCUCCAGGCCAUGAGCAUGCUGGGAUAACACUGGAGGUGUCCAGUACAUCAGAUGUUGCUGCAAGCAUCUGAUUCUACAGACAACAAACACAAUAAAAUAAAAUAAAAAGUUGACAACAUCUCAAGGGUCAAGCUUCCAGUGGCUUAGGGUGUUGUGGGGUUUUUUUUCUCCCCUGAACAUUUUAGUUUUAUCCCAGUUAAAUCCUCAGUACUGCAGGGUUAAAAUUGUCGUCAUUUUUUGCUUUUGUUGACAAUUACCAUAAAUCAGAAGACACUCUGCAUGAAGCUUAAUGAAAUAUGUAUGAUAUAAAAAUGGGAAGAAGAUAAGAGCAGUAUGCUGCUUUAGGAUUUUGUGUGUGUAUCUAUGCAUCUGUGCGUGCAAAUGCACAACCUGAAGAGCUAAGUUGUAUUUUGUGUGCUGUGCACUGAAUGGAAGAGUCAGGCAGCUGCUGACUGGAAAACAUACAAAAAACAUAUCAUAUGAAUAAAAUGUAUCAUAGUUUAUCCAAAAGUGAGUGUAGUAUGUUUUCCGUGUCAGUCAAUAAGUUCAAUUAAUAUACUUGCCUGUUAAAAUAUUCAGUUAAAAAUAUUUCUUGACGCCUUUUUUUGUUUUUGCUGGUGUGAAAAUCUGGUUCAUCCUAAAAGUGUUUGCCUUGACAUACUUUAGUAGUAGUAGUAGUAGUAGUAGUAGUAGUAGUAGUAGUAGUAGUAGUAGUAGCUGUUGUUGUUGUUAUUGUUGUUGUUCUUGUUGUUGAUGAUGAUGAUAUCUUGUCCAUUAUUUUACUUCUUGGGGUGUUACGACCUUUUUAAAAAAAUUAGACACAUAACUAAGGUCCUGAUCCUACAAAUAACACAUGUAUAUAGAAAUACAUACAUACACACACACACACACACAUACAUAUGUGUGUGUGUAUAAAUAAAGACAUCCUUUUGUGGAAGAGUAUUGUGUUUUCUGAGAUCUACCUAACAGACUCGUGGGUGCAACUGGACACUGGAUGAUUUCAUCCAGCUACUGAUUGUGCACACACGAGCAGUGUGUGAAUCAGUCCCUUUAAAACUCAAAAUGCCAUCAAUGAGUUUAUUAAAUUCCUGGAAAAAAUGUCGUACAAAAAGCAUCUUUUUAGAUUUGGAAUUGGGCAAAAGUCCUAUCAGCAACAUUCAGCUAUAUUGCCUGUAGCAGGAGAGAGCAGAAAGGUAGGUAGAGCCUGCUCUAAGAGAAAGGAUGUUCCUACUGACCAAGAAAAGGGAAGAGUUAGACUACAAAUAUUGCCUGUUGAGAAGGUUGCAUCCUUUUAUUAUCAAAUAUAUACCAAAUAAGAAUAUGGAAAUAUGGCUUGUACUGUUUCAAAAUUCCAGUAAUUUGUGCAAUAAAUCAUUGCAAAGCAAGUAUAAGCAGCCUGCAGAGUGUGUUGUGCAUGUAUUGGCAGACCUGAUAUCUUUUACUGUACAAUCUGUGCUGGCAUCUUUGUCCAAAAUGUUUUUCAGAGACUUUAUCUUCCUAAUCAACUCCUUUGCCAAGCUCAACAAAAAAAAGAAAAGAAAUCCAUGUAGCAUAUAUAGCAGAUGGGUGUUCAGUAGCAUACAGGUGUUCAGCGUGCAGCUGCCAGAUAAUGUAAGGUUCAGUUUCUUUACUUUGCUGAUACCAAGAAGACAAAAUUGCUAAAAGUCUGUCAGAUAACUAAGAUCACAUGAGGAAGCCAUAUUAUAAGAAAAAAGUUAAUUAUUAAUGUGUGAAAUUUUAAAUUGUCAUUUUAAGAUUUUAAUCUUUUGGCUUCAUCAAUAGAAGCUUGGAGUAGAUCCAGGUGUUAUCUGUGACCUUGUUGGUCAAUAACACCCACAGUGGCUAAUACCGUGUUGUUAUUGUUGUUUUGUGUCCAUUAGACAACGAAAUGUUCCUCCAUCUAUUGACAUGGUGAACUUUGGAAACACUAAUGGGGAGAUACAGAAUAUUUCAGGAAUGGGUAAUGUUGACAGGGCAAGAUGCACCUGUUUGUCUCUCUGGCUCACCAAUACCACAAUGGUUAUCAAGCAUAUUUUGUUAAGUGCAACAAGAGAAAGCAGAGCAAUAGUGGCUGUGUGGGCUGUCUUUCCUCGGUUUUAUCUUUUUCAUUUUGAGCCUGAGUUUUGUGCCAGACUAAUAGCCGAUGGCAAUGGGCUGGGGAAGUGCAACUUUCACUAAGAUUAGGGAAUGUGCAGAAAACAAUGUGUGAAAUCCUGAUUUGACAAGGGUGAACAGACUGGUGAGGGCACCAAGACAUUUUGUGAAGUGAAACCAUAUUUGUACCCAACGUGUCUAGAAAAAACCUGUAACAACCAAGGUGCCAAAAGAUCCCACCCAGGAGACAAUAAGAAUGACAUCCUCAUUAUACCAGUCAGGGAAUAAAGGAGGUGCAGAAUUCAUUCUACCCUUUCCAAUUACUGGCAGCUUAUAUUAAUUGAUGGUAGUGGAACAAUGUGUGUGUUGUUGUGCUCUGGGGUGAUUAUCCUUGUGAGACUGUAAGUUCAACAGUUGUCAUGCAAUUUGGAGUUGCAGGCUGGCAAUUUUUGUAAUUGAAUCUCAGGAAAUAAACAAAAUAUGGCAACUUGAUA
This is a long non-coding RNA of Pseudopipra pipra, 12146 nucleotides long. RefSeq lists it as uncharacterized. The transcript is spliced from 2 exons. The record is from RefSeq and is a predicted model, not a curated record. NCBI's taxonomy places the organism in Eukaryota, Metazoa, Chordata, Aves, Passeriformes, Pipridae.